Oreochromis aureus is the source of this 6324-nucleotide long non-coding RNA. NCBI's taxonomy places the organism in Eukaryota, Metazoa, Chordata, Actinopteri, Cichliformes, Cichlidae. The record is from Ensembl.
GGAAAAUUGUACUUAGCAGUAUAAGCUUUUAAUGAUAUAAGUUUGCAUAUGAUAGAAUACUGUAUGUUGACCUUUUGAUGACUUAGACUGUUGUCCACUACAAGACUGUUUUAUAAAUUCUUUCUCACAGCGAUAAUAGCUGAACAAGCAGGAAGAGGAGAGCUGGACACUUUUAUCUGCGCUCCUUAACAAGAAGAGGGGCCGCGUCCUUCUGAAUCUCACAACACACACACAUACACCUGAACCACUCUUAUCUUCACUCCCUACGCACUAACAUUCCUCUGCCUAUGAAUAGACGUAUUCACUGUUGUAUUGCUUUGUAUAUAAAUAAAGACCAGAGCGGUAACAGGGCGCUGAUCACAGGGCCCCCACUCUGGUGUGAGCAUUCUGUGACCGCCCUUGUAUACAAGUGAAAAACACAGCGUCUGUGUGUGUUUCUACCCUUAGACUCUUAGCUGAAGAAGUGUCUUUAGAAUAAAUCUCUUGACAUUUAUUUUGGUCCUUCGAGAGCCGGAUCAGAAAUAUCAGAACUGUUAUCUGUGACUCUGUUCCAGGAUCUGGCAUACUGUUUCCUGACGCUGUGGAGCCAGCACCGAAGACUGUGCACAGCCCUCUUAGACGAGGAGGACCCGGGACGUUUGAGUCCGGGCCGGUCUGGUCCACGGCGAUGGGAUUCAGUCUGACGAUCCGAACCACCAGUGAGAUGUCUGAGGGUGAGAAACACUAUUUUUGAUAUAUAAAACGGCCGCAAAGGUUUAAAGAAACGUGAUAAAUUAGGUUUAAGUUCGACAAAAAGAACUAAGUUUAGACUGGUUUUAGAGGUAGCCAAAAUUACUUCGUGACAAAUUAAAAUACGUUUAGGCAAAUUAAAACACGUCGAGACAAAGGAAUUCAAAUAGGUUUAAGUUCGCCAAAAGAAACUGUGUUUAGACUGGUUUUAGAGGUAACCGUUAAAUACUUCGUGACAAAUUAGGUUUAAGUUCGCCAAAAGGAACUGUGUUUAGACUGGUUUUUAGAAGUAGCCAUAAAAUACUUCGUAACAAAUUAGCGCGCAAAUGUCUAUGUGUGUAUGUGUGUAGAAGUAAGUUGAUUUUACAGCACAAUACGCUGCUGAACUACUUCUAUUUUAUUUGUUUUCUUUGCUUGAGGCUCAAGUACUGGUGACAAAAGAGAACGGUUGAGUUUCGUCUCGUAAAACUGAUACCGCUUCAUUUUUUAGAAGUGAAGUAGAAGGCCGUAUCAGUAAACCACUCUGGAGUCAAGCGUGCCAGUGACGGCCCAGCAAAAUCUUUGGAAAUGGGUAAUAAACAAGCAAAAUUAACACCUGAUGAGGAAUGGUUAGAAAAACAACAAACAGGAGCAGGUAGAAUAAGUGCAAAUAGGUGGAGAAAUCCACAAAAAGCAAAGAACCGCAGCUGGGAAGGGAAAUGCAAUCCCUCAGCUGUUACCCAGCUGAAAGCUGUCCUGAAACAAGAAAUUACAUUAACAAAAGACCCAAAGAAGAAAUUAAAACGUGAAGAAGAAUAUAAACUUUUCCAAGCAUGGGAAACUGAAGCUGAAAGGAGAACUGAAAAUAAGAAAAAGAAAGAGGAAAAUAAAAACUAUUUCAACGCACUUUCAUUAAAGGAUUACUACCACCCAUUAGGUCUCAUGUCGAAAAGCAUUGGGUAACGCAAGAUACGGGCACAGCAGAUGAGGCGUUUCAAUAUGUUAACCAUGCACAGACAGUGGUGAAACGGAAAGAGAAGGUCUCAGUUUUGCCCUCGAUGCUGACACUGUUCUCACAGCUUUUAGUGGAGGCUACAGGGGAGGCUUCAGAGGCCAAAAGAGAGGGAGAGGAAUGCAUAGGGGAAGAGCAAGAGGUAGAGACAGACCUAGAUACACACCAAACAGUAAUUAUAGCACUACAUGCUGGAGGUGUGGAAAAGAGGGACAUUUUGUACGUGACUGUAAGAAACAAAGAAGCAGUUCAGACUAGGAAGAAUAUAAUAAUCCCUCGUCAAGAAAAAGAUUAGAGAUCAAAGUUUAAAAAGGGCUGGAAACAGACCCAACUGAAUACAUAUAAAUACAAGAGGAAUAAAGUGGAAUAAACAAAAGGUUAAAUUAAAUUAGAGCUUAUCUCUACUGUAUUCAAACUAAUAAUAGGAAGGAUAACAACCUGUAAACUGGUAUUAACAAUGAAACAUAGUUAGAAUGAAGACCAUGCCCAGACUGAAUAGAACGAAAGAAAAUACAUAACUCACACAAACACAUAUUAAAUGAAAUAGAGAGAUGCAUAAGGUAUAUUAAGGUUGUGUCAUUGUUCAGCCAAGGAAAGUGUGUGAAAAGGAAAAUGUCUCCAGCUUGGGAAAGGGUGAAACUGCAGAUCACCCCCAUCCCUCGAUGGAUGCAAAAUAAAAUAUAAAUAAAAUAUUGUAAUAUACUAUUGCUGUUAUAUAAAAAGAUGAUAACAUUAAUAAUAACAUAAUAUUAAUAUGAAGAGGCACCUCAGUCAGCUAUGAUGUGAGGUGGAUAAUUGUUAAAAGUAGUCUGCAUCAAGCUUAAGGUUUGCUCAAAUUCAGUAUAAUGACAUAUGAGAUGAAGAAAAUAAAGAAAAUAUCUAAACUAAUUAAGUGCAUAGAGACACUUGACCUGCUUGAAAACCUGUCAUCCUAGAUGAGACAUUGCUGAAAUAUAGAGCACACCUAUAGUAACAACUAACAAGCUAAACCCUCUAUACAACAGCUAAAGCUAUACAAUUGAGAAGCUGAAUUAAAUAUAUGGUCACUGCUAAGCUGAUGAGCAGGUUACACAUUUUUUAGAGCAGGAGCUGCAUAAGAACACAUCAGAGGGAGGGAAAGAGCUAUUAAAGCUCAAACAUGAAGCUGUCUGUGGGCUCAGUUUUUUUUCCCCUCACGCUUCUGAUUUGUCUUUGGCAGCAGCCUUUUUGCAUCCUGACUUAUGUGUGUAAAGCGUUCAAGCCAUCAGUAACUUGUUUUUUGUUUUGUUUUGUUGGGUUGAAAAAUGAAUAAAUCUGUGAUCAUACUUCUGGAUCACAGUGGCACAUAAUGAUUAGGCAUAUGAUUUACUAAUGCAGAUGUAAUUACUUUAUUCUAAAAUUCAAGGAGAACAAACAAGAACAACAUCUUCAGUUGUGUCUUGUUGUUGUUCUCUGUGCAGUGUGCUGAGUUUUGUUUUUUGUUUCUUUUGUUUUUUGAAAUGUUGCUUGAGUGAUGAGUACUGUAACUUCUGAAGUAGCUCUCACCAUGUGUCCUUGAUGAUGAUAAGUUCAGAGCCAGCUGAGAGCUGGGUUGUCUGUUUUGUUUUAGGUGACAAGCCAGAAAAGUUAAAACUUAGUUUCUUGUUUUGAAAAAAAAGGGGGGGAAAGGGAGGUUUUGUGUUUCUCAGCAAAGAACAACUACAAUUUCAUUUUCUGUUUUUGAGAAAGGAGAAUUUAAAAUAAUAGUAAUAAUAAUAAUAAUAAAACAAAGAGUUAUGUUUUGUUUAAGUGGUGAAGACAGCUAAUACUGCAAUAUACCGUCUAGUGCAUGAUCCGCGAGCAAUAUAUGAAAUCAUCUUAUUUAUCUUUAAAUAAACUCCAAUUAUGGAGACCUGAAGUCACAUGCUUAGGGCACACCCUCUCAGGUGAAGGCAGAAAGCUACUAAACAAAGAAAAGAAGCCAUACAAAAUGCACCACAGCCACAAACUAAGCAUUCAUAUUCUUUCUAACUCUUAGUGAGCCUGAGUUAUGACCUUGGCUCCCUGUUUUUCUGCUUCCACCAAAGGUGGGGGUGACGCUCCUGUGGCAUGUGCUCUGUUCUCUUUACUAUCACAAAGAAAAAAAAAAGAGAGAGAGGCCCCUACUCUCUGAAUACAAUAUUCUUUGCAUAACUUGGCAGUAUGAAAUGUCAUGAAACAGUGUAACUCACUCACAGUAAAUCAGCAGCAUAGGAUAAUACAAACCUAUCUAAUAAAUCUAAUGAUUUUCACACUCUUUUAACUCAGAAGUAUGAUGUGGCCUACAGCAGUAUCAUGAUUCACUCAUUUUGAUUAUAGGUAUAAUGUAAUAUAUAACAGCAUAAUAAUCUCACAACUGCUUCAAGCACAUUUGCCUUUCUUAACACACGCGAGAGAAAGGCAACUGUUGAGAAAAUGCUCUUUUGGGUGAGACAGUCCCAGAGGCCUUGCAUGCAAGCUACUAACACACAUACAUGCAAUGAAGAACAGCUUACACUACAGCACACACUAUACAUGCGCCUAUAUCUCUCAUUAGUGUUAAAACAGGGAAAACUUAAUAGUUUUGUUAUCAAAUGCUGAAGUUUAUCCACUACUAACAAAUAAACUCUCUGGGUUGCAGGACAACAACUUCAAAAAGAACGAGACUGGUAUGACCAACCAGUGAUGAAACAACAAAUUUAGUGGUUAAGAGUCAAAUUGUGAGAUGUUUUCUGCUGAUUGAAUCAUACAAGUGAUUACUGAAGGAAGGAAAAUUCCUUUUUUGUGCUUUUAAACGUGAUCUUACGAAUUUUAAUAUCUACCUGUGUUGUCCUGUCAACUUGGUGGGUUAUGAGUUAAUUAUAUUGUGAGGAAAAACAAAAAAAGGGGGAGAGAAGGCUGACACAGGGCCUGGCCCGGUGUUUCUCCCCUCCCCUUCGUCUGUUUUUGUUUUGUUUUUGUUUUUUCUCUUUAUGUUUAAUUACAGGCUGCUUUGCCGGUCCUGAAAGCCGAAGCUGACCUGGACUCCUGCUCUCCCCUCUACCAUCUUUGACGUGACCCUGACCAAAUGCUGCAGCAGCUAGACCCAUAACAACAACCUGAAAAUGUCAACAGUGCUGCAGGAAAAGGAUCUCAUGCAGCAGAGACGGAGAGCACUAAACUCAAGGCCCAUUUCACUACACGGGGGAAAAUUCCCAGACAGCUUCAGCUGACAGAGCUGUGACGAGACGCCCAUUAAGCCCGAAUGAAAAGUAAGGCCGAGCAAAAGAAUGCUGACCUUGAUAACCCUGCAUUAACACUGUACAGGACAGUGACGGACCAACACGGAUGAUCGGGCAGCAGAAGAAAGGGCGUGCCAGAGACAGGAGGAGCAACUGAGGUCAAAAGGCACCUCAGAAUGGACAAAACACAGAAGAAGAUGCAGGUUUCACCUGCGGUGAGCAUGGACACUGGAGAAAGGACUGCCCCAAUUGGGGCCAGGACCAGGACAGACUGAACUAUGAGCAGCAGCAGCAAUGGUCGCAACCGGACUGAAAAGGAGGAGGGCAGGACCCCAGGGCACGCUUCAGGCCGUGGUUUACCCAAAACACCAGAACAGGAAAGUGAUAAACACGCCAACAUACACUAACAUACACAUCUACACACACUGACUCAGAAUGAAGAGAAACACACACCUGAACAGACGUGCACUUGUUGAUUGAGUGAGAAAUGACACACACACACAUCAGACAAUGUACACUCAUCAAACAUGACUGAUGCCCUGAACGCCUUGAGACAGAUCAAGCAGGCCCAAAAUCAGGACUAUGUAAGUAAUACAAGUGACUGCUAAAAAGACUACUACUGCCUUCUCACUGUGCAAUACUUUUUGUUAAAAACCAACGGUGCACUAGACUUCAAUACUUGAAAUACUUGAAAUACUUGCAAUUCCUUUGUAUUCUUAUUCUUAUUUAUUCCAUUUAUCCCUUUUUGUAUUUUCACUUUUAUUUUGUGUUUUUGUAACAUGUAUCCUGCCAUGUCUAAAACUCAUGAUUAACCGUAUAAUUGUUUCCACUGUUGCUGCAUACAUAGCCGUGACAAAUGAUGAUGAUGAUGACCCCGACCUGUUGGAACAUGAAGACUUUGUGUGAUUAAUGAUGGUGUGAUAGGAACUGUACAACAAGAUGUUACAUACUGAUAUCUCACUUGAAAGUUAUACUGACAACAGGAGGGAAUGUCAAUGGAAAAUUGUACUUAGCAGUAUAAGCUUUUAAUGAUAUAAGUUUGCAUAUGAUAGAAUACUGUAUGUUGACCUUUUGAUGACUUAGACUGUUGUCCACUACACGACUGUUUUAUAAAUUCUUUCUCACAGCGAUAAUAGCUGAACAAGCAGGAAGAGGAGAGCUGGACACUUUUAUCUGCGCUCUCUAACAAGAAGAGGGGCCGCGUCUUUCUGAAUCUCACAACACACACACAUACACCUGAACCACUCUUAUCUUCACUCCCUACGCACUAACAUUCCUCUGCCUAUGAAUAGACGUAUUCACUGUUGUAUUGCUUUGUAUAUAAAUAAAGACCAGAGCGGUAACAGGGCGCUGAUCACAGGGCCCCCACUCUGGUGUGAGCGUUCUGUGACCGCCCUUGUAUACAAG